AGUAGCGGCGAGUGAAGCGGGAAGAGCUCAAAUUUGUAAUCUGGCGUCCUUCGGGCGUCCGAGUUGUAAUCUAUAGAAGUGUUUUCCGUGCCGGACCAUGUCCAAGUCCCUUGGAACAGGGUAUCAAAGAGGGUGACAAUCCCGUACUUGACAUGACCACCGGUGCUCUGUGAUACACUUUCUACGAGUCGAGUUGUUUGGGAAUGCAGCUCAAAAUGGGUGGUAAAUUCCAUCUAAAGCUAAAUAUUGGCGAGAGACCGAUAGCGAACAAGUACCGUGAGGGAAAGAUGAAAAGCACUUUGGAAAGAGAGUUAAACAGUACGUGAAAUUGUUGAAAGGGAAACGAUUGAAGUCAGUCGUGUUCUUUGGACUCAGCCGGUUCUUCCGGUCUAUUUCCUUUGAACGGGUCAACAUCAGUUUUGUCCGGUGGAUAAAGGCAGGAAGAAAGUGGCUCCCUCGGGAGUGUUAUAGCUUUCUGUCACAUACACUGGAGGAGACUGAGGACUGCAGCUCGCCUUUUGGCCGGGGUUCGCCCACGUUCGAGCUUAGGAUGUUGACAUAAUGGCUUUAAAC
Molecule: ribosomal RNA, 573 nt
Filed under: Vanrija musci
Lineage: Eukaryota; Fungi; Basidiomycota; Tremellomycetes; Trichosporonales; Trichosporonaceae
Description: eukaryotic LSU rRNA
Rfam family: Eukaryotic large subunit ribosomal RNA
Source: RNAcentral